Molecule: transfer RNA, 74 nt
Filed under: Clostridiales bacterium
Lineage: Bacteria; Bacillati; Bacillota; Clostridia; Eubacteriales
Description: tRNA-Gly
Rfam family: tRNA
About the family: Transfer RNA (tRNA) molecules are approximately 80 nucleotides in length. Their secondary structure includes four short double-helical elements and three loops (D, anti-codon, and T loops). Further hydrogen bonds mediate the characteristic L-shaped molecular structure. tRNAs have two regions of fundamental functional importance: the anti-codon, which is responsible for specific mRNA codon recognition, and the 3' end, to which the tRNAs corresponding amino acid is attached (by aminoacyl-tRNA synthetases). tRNAs cope with the degeneracy of the genetic code in two manners: having more than one tRNA (with a specific anti-codon) for a particular amino acid; and 'wobble' base-pairing, i.e. permitting non-standard base-pairing at the 3rd anti-codon position.
Source: RNAcentral
GCGGAUGUAGUUUAGUGGUAAAAUAUCAGCUUCCCAAGCUGAGGUUGGGAGUUCGAUUCUCCUCAUCCGCUCCA